GUGUCAGCCGCCGCGGUAAUACGUAGGGGGCGAGCGUUGUCCGGAAUUAUUGGGCGUAAAGGGUGCGUAGGCGGCCUUUUAAGUCAGGUGUGAAAGGUCACGGCUCAACCGUGGUAAGCACUUGAAACUGGAAGGCUUGAGUUAAGGAGAGGAAAGUGGAAUUCCUAGUGUAGCGGUGAAAUGCGUAGAUAUUAGGAGGAAUACCAGUGGCGAAGGCGACUUUCUGGCCUUUAACUGACGCUGAGGCACGAAAGCGUGGGGAGCAAACAGGAUUAGAUACCCUGGUAGUCCACGCCGUAAACGAUGAGUGCUAGGUGUUGGGGGUUAACCCUCAGUGCCGCAGCUAACGCAUUAAGCACUCCGCCUGGGGAGUACGUGCGCAAGCAUGAAACUCAAAUGAAUUGACGG
RNAcentral lists this ribosomal RNA (408 nucleotides) under uncultured bacterium. RNAcentral describes it as "bacterial SSU rRNA". It matches the Rfam family "Bacterial small subunit ribosomal RNA", at positions 505 to 916 of the family's 1533-position model. The record is from RNAcentral.